This 370-nucleotide long non-coding RNA is filed under the name Aotus nancymaae (Ma's night monkey). RNAcentral describes it as "lncRNA (ENSANAG00000038871.1)". Lineage: Eukaryota; Metazoa; Chordata; Mammalia; Primates; Aotidae. The record is from RNAcentral.
GAAUUCCUGAAGAAACCACUGAAUAUUUUAAAAGCCAUACAGACUCUGAGCCUCUCACCUGGAACCAAAGCCUCAUCAGAGAAGACUGGCCAUAGUGGGAGACAGAUCCUAAGAACUCGAAGGGAAAAACAGUUACUAAUUAAAAAAUAGAAUGGAGAAGGAGGUGGAAGGAUGAUUGGCCACUAAAGCAGCAUUCUGAGCACACCACCUGCUAGAGGCCACAGGACCUAAGCAAGCAUCCAAAACCAUGGAGGAAGCAGCUGACAGCAUAAAGAACAAGCAACUGAGUGUUCCUUAUCCCCAUCCCUUGACAAAUCCAUAGGCAAUAGCAACAUGAAUGGUAGUACUCGGCUAAUGGAAAGGACUAGAG